Molecule: long non-coding RNA, 1822 nt
Filed under: Salvia miltiorrhiza (redroot sage)
Lineage: Eukaryota; Viridiplantae; Streptophyta; Magnoliopsida; Lamiales; Lamiaceae
Description: long non-coding RNA (SMIL_LNC001272)
Source: RNAcentral
AGAGAUACAAGUAAUCAUAGCAGAUAAUACAUCCCCAUUAUGUGGAUAUAUAACUUCCAAUACAAAAUAAUCCCUUAAAAAGAACAUGAACAUAAGCAUAGAUACUCAAACAACAUGCCCCAAAAAUACAUCCUGUAAUAAGGAACAUCAAAUCCCUUGAGUUUGAACAGUUCAUCAACACAUAAAAUCCCUCUCUUCCAUUCAAUAAUUCAAAGUAAGUGUAUUAACAACAACAGCAGGAUCAGAGUGAGUGUAUUAACAAGGUUGUGUACGAGACAUAAAACAGCGGUCAUUUUUCAAUUUAUAGUCAACUAAAUGAAGAACUUAGCUUCUGUUUUGAAGGACUAUCAGGCUUAGCUUUGUGGGUUUGGACAAUAAAAUCUGGAGCUAGCAGGUUGUGUAUCCAUUCCUUCGAGUUUAGAGGGGUGCGUGCCCUGCUCCAUCAAACCAGAGAAGCAGCAGAUUCGACUCCGACGGGAGAGAUGAGAGAACCCCAUCACUAUUGCUAAGAACUGAAGCUUUCCGAUGGUGUUAUCCACUGAAACAUAUUGAGAAAAUUGCCAAUAAUUGAAUGGUGGCCUUAGCAAUUGCGGCUGUUGCUAUCAUCGUUGGAGCUAGUAAGUAAUUCUCGAGCACAUAAUCCCAAAGUACGCAGCAGCGUACUUUGGUGCAGAUAGCCCAAGCACUCUUGUGGCGUUCCCUCGUCAGCUUAGCAAAAGCCUCUCGUCACCAUUCCGAUAGAAAUUGAUGUAUUUCCGGCAAGCUGCAGGACCUUGACGACAGAAGAUCUCUUCGCUGGAAUCGCGUACCAGAGUAUCAAUGCACCAUGCCGAGCUUUAACCCCAAUCGUUAAUCUGGCUAACUGAAACGAACAAAAAUAUAGAAGUCAGAACUCCCCAGAAUUUCUGAGAAAUUGAAAUGAGGUCUGUGUGAGAAGAAUCGUAUGGCAUCGAUUGCUGUAACCGCUAAACGGCAUGUUCUCGGGCGACCCUCCCUUGCUUCAAAUCAGAGGAUAUUAUGUUCAUGAGCGAAGCUCCUGACACGGCAUGACGCGCGAUAUGUACGCGAUGAACCGGUGAUCGGCGGAAGCACGCGGGCGGUGGUGCACCAUUAGCCAGGAAUUCUCCCCUCCUCCCCAGACCCGAUCGAUAUCAAAACCGAUGACCCGCUAUAUCCCACUGGAGUAAGCGGUAAUCCAAGCAAAAAUGAGCUCCAUCAGUGAUUUGCUGGUGAACACAACAGAAAUGAGGAAAACACAGAGAAUCAUUAGGACUUGCUAUGGUUUGUUCGAAAUUGCUGAGAAAUAUGUAUUGAUUGAAGAAAAUCGGGGGUUUUCCCCUAUGCCCAUGGUCUGCAAGCCAUGAUUGCUCGUUGAAUCGAGAAAUUAGGGACCGCGCCGGUUAGGCGGGCAAGCAUGAUUGAGUCGCGUCUUCAAGGUGAGAAGAGCAGUGGGCGCUAGUGUGUCGUGAGUCGCGGUGACAGGUGGUGCGACCGGGCAAGUGGUGGCGAAAGGAUGGGCGGCGAUUCCCUGGCUGCGGAGAGUUUCUUCGCUGUUUGGCUGGAGGAAGGCAGCGAUUCGCUGGCUACGGAGGAGAGAGAGCGAUCUGGAUCUGGGAGAGAGAGAACGGCGGUAGGAUUCCCUUGCGACGGCGCUGGCCGAGAUUCAAGCUGGUGGUAGCCGAUCCAAUCUGGCUCUGGGAGAGAGAGACAGACCCAAGGAGAUGCUAAUACUCCGAUUUUGAAAAUCGAGAUCUGGAAUUUUUUCUCCUCUUACGGUGAACAGUAACCAUCGAUGAACAGUAACCCCAAUUUUCCAUUUUUU